RNAcentral lists this ribosomal RNA (253 nucleotides) under uncultured bacterium. RNAcentral's name for it is "partial 16S ribosomal RNA". It matches the Rfam family "Bacterial small subunit ribosomal RNA", at positions 524 to 776 of the family's 1533-position model. The record is from RNAcentral.
UACGGAGGGUGCGAGCGUUGUUCGGAAUUAUUGGGCGUAAAGGGUGCGUAGGCGGUUUGGUAAGUCUGAUGUGAAAUCUAUGGGCUCAACUCAUAGUCUGCAUCGGAAACUGCCGGGCUUGAGUGUGGGAGAGGUGAGUGGAAUUCCUGGUGUAGCGGUGAAAUGCGUAGAUAUCAGGAGGAACACCUGUGGCGAAAGCGGCUCACUGGACCAUAACUGACGCUGAUGCACGAAAGCUAGGGGAGCAAACAGG